GGAGCUGCUGUUUGGUGACUGAUCCUGGCUUGAGAGAAUUGUUACGUUAUUCUGUCCAAAUCAGGGGAAGUGGUAGCGGCGCAGCGGCUAAGACACCGGGCUUGUCUACUGGAAAGCCAGCAGCCCAGGUUCGAGACCUGAGCAUCACACAACCGGGGAUGCUAGUGAAAUAGGACACUCAAAAGAGGCUACGAAAUGAAGUGUAAGAUAGAGCACGGAUGCCACAGAUGAAGAUGCUUCUGAAAAGGGUGGCUGGAGGAGAAUGCCUACUUAAAAGCGAAUUGUGUGAAAGCAAAAGGCUAAAAGCACCGCUUGCAAAAGAAGUGUUUGUUGAAUUUGCAGAAUCCAAAAAAGCACGUUGCUCCAGCUUGAGGGGACGGGAGGAAAGUACAGCGUGCUCUAGAAACAACUGACAUAGUUACUCGUGGGAGUUAGGAAAAGUAAAACCUCAGAAGGGAA
This is a non-coding RNA of Pantherophis guttatus, 459 nucleotides long. The record is from RefSeq and is a predicted model, not a curated record. Lineage: Eukaryota; Metazoa; Chordata; Lepidosauria; Squamata; Colubridae.